UUCCGUAGGUGAACCUGCGGAAGGAUCAUUACCGAGUGCGGGCCCUCUGGGUCCAACCUCCCAUCCGUGUCUAUUCAUACCCUGUUGCUUCGGCGGGCCCGCCGGCUGCCCCUCCUGGGGAUGCCGGCCGCCGGGGGGCUAACCUGCCCCCGGGCCCGUGCCCGCCGGGGACACCAACACUGAACACUGUCUGAAGGUUGCAGUCUGAGUUUUCAUAAAGGAAAAUUGUUAAAACUUUCAACAACGGAUCUCUUGGUUCCGGCAUCGAUGAAGAACGCAGCGAAAUGCGAUACGUAAUGUGAAUUGCAGAAUUCAGUGAAUCAUCGAAUCUUUGAACGCACAUUGCGCCCUCUGGUAUUCCGGGGGGCAUGCCUGUCCGAGCGUCAUUGCUGCCCUCAAGCACGGCUUGUGUGUUGGGCCCCCGUCCCGGCGAAGCAUCAGCCCCGGGACGGGCCCGAAAGGCAGCGGCGGCACCGUGUCCGGUCCUCGAGCGUAUGGGGCUCUGUCACCCGCUCGUGUAGGUCCGGCCGGCGGCCAGCCCGACCCUUUAACCAAUCUUUUAACCAGGUUGACCUCGGAUCAGGUAGGGAUACC
This 594-nucleotide ribosomal RNA is filed under the name uncultured eukaryote. RNAcentral's name for it is "eukaryotic LSU rRNA". The stretch from base 233 to 386 matches the Rfam family "5.8S ribosomal RNA". The record is from RNAcentral.